This 484-nucleotide ribosomal RNA is filed under the name uncultured bacterium. RNAcentral describes it as "partial 16S ribosomal RNA". It matches the Rfam family "Bacterial small subunit ribosomal RNA", at positions 28 to 507 of the family's 1533-position model. The record is from RNAcentral.
AUUGAACGCUGGCGGCAUGCUUUACACAUGCAAGUCGAACGGCAGCGCGGGCUUCGGCCUGGCGGCGAGUGGCGAACGGGUGAGUAAUGCAUCGGAACGUGCCCAGUAGUGGGGGAUAGCCCGGCGAAAGCCGGAUUAAUACCGCAUACGACCUGAGGGUGAAAGCGGGGGACCGAAAGGCCUCGCGCUAUUGGAGCGGCCGAUGUCGGAUUAGCUAGUUGGUGGGGUAAAGGCUUACCAAGGCGACGAUCCGUAGCUGGUCUGAGAGGACGACCAGCCACACUGGGACUGAGACACGGCCCAGACUCCUACGGGAGGCAGCAGUGGGGAAUUUUGGACAAUGGGGGCAACCCUGAUCCAGCCAUGCCGCGUGCGGGAAGCAGGCCUUCGGGUUGUAAACCGCUUUUGUUCGGGAAGAAAUCCUCUGGGCUAAUACCCCGGGGGGAUGACGGUACCGGAAGAAUAAGCACCGGCUAACUACGUG